Long non-coding RNA from Triticum dicoccoides, 296 nucleotides. RefSeq lists it as uncharacterized. The transcript is spliced from 3 exons. Lineage: Eukaryota; Viridiplantae; Streptophyta; Magnoliopsida; Poales; Poaceae. The record is from RefSeq and is a predicted model, not a curated record.
CGAGGCCCCACGCUCAAACCCGACGAGCUGGAAUGGCGAGGUCAUCCGAGCCGACCAUCAUGAUUCCCCACAGAACAAUAAGAUCUUCGGAUGUUGGUGCUGAGAUUGAUGUGGCCCUAGCUACAUGUAAGCGAAGCUUAUGAUGUCGAUCCUUCAGGCUGCACUGCCAUCAUGUUACCUCACAAACUGCUGGUGGUAUGAUUGCGUACCAGACUACUUGGUGCUGGGCUACUUGGUGCUGCCCAUCACAAUUUGUACUGACAAUUUCCAUCAAGACGGCCGACAGCAAGAACUUG